AGUGAACGCUGGCGGUAGGCCUAACACAUGCCAGUCGAACGGCAGCACAGUAAGAGCUUGCUCUUACGGGAGGCGAGUGGCGGACGGGUGAGGAAUACAUCGGAAUCUACUUUUUCGUGGGGGAUAACGUAGGGAAACUUACGCUAAUACCGCAUACGACCUACGGGUGAAAGCAGGGGAUCUUCGGACCUUGCGCGAUUGAAUGAGCCGAUGUCGGAUUAGCUAGUUGGCGGGGUAAAGGCCCACCAAGGCGACGAUCCGUAGCUGGUCUGAGAGGAUGAUCAGCCACACUGGAACUGAGACACGGUCCAGACUCCUACGGGAGGCAGCAGUGGGGAAUAUUGGACAAUGGGCGCAAGCCUGAUCCAGCCAUACCGCGUGGGUGAAGAAGGCCUUCGGGUUGUAAAGCCCUUUUGUUGGGAAAGAAAAGCAGCAGGUUAAUACCCCGCUGUUCUGACGGUACCCAAAGAAUAAGCACCGGCUAACUUCGUG
Molecule: ribosomal RNA, 492 nt
Filed under: uncultured bacterium
Lineage: Bacteria
Description: partial 16S ribosomal RNA
Rfam family: Bacterial small subunit ribosomal RNA
Source: RNAcentral